RNAcentral lists this ribosomal RNA (253 nucleotides) under uncultured bacterium. RNAcentral describes it as "partial 16S ribosomal RNA". It matches the Rfam family "Bacterial small subunit ribosomal RNA", at positions 524 to 776 of the family's 1533-position model. The record is from RNAcentral.
GACGCAGGGGGCUAGCGUUGUUCGGAAUUACUGGGCGUAAAGCGCGUGUAGGCGGUUGCCCAAGUCGGGUGUGAAAGCCUUGAGCUCAACUCAAGAAAUGCACUCGGUACUGGGUGACUAGAGGACCGGAGAGGAUAGUGGAAUUCCCAGUGUAGUGGUGAAAUACGUAGAGAUUGGGAAGAACACCAGUGGCGAAGGCGGCUAUCUGGACGGUUUCUGACGCUAAGACGCGAAAGCGUGGGGAGCAAACAGG